Molecule: ribosomal RNA, 433 nt
Filed under: uncultured bacterium
Lineage: Bacteria
Description: partial 16S ribosomal RNA
Rfam family: Bacterial small subunit ribosomal RNA
Source: RNAcentral
AACGAACGCUGGCGGCAUGCCUAACACAUGCAAGUCGAACGAGACCUUCGGGUCUAGUGGCGCACGGGUGCGUAACGCGUGGGAACCUGCCCUUAGGUUCGGAAUAACUCCCCGAAAGGGGUGCUAAUACCGGAUAAUGUCUUCGGACCAAAGAUUUAUCGCCUUUGGAUGGGCCCGCGUUGGAUUAGCUAGUUGGUAGGGUAAAAGCCUACCAAGGCGACGAUCCAUAGCUGGUCUGAGAGGAUGAUCAGCCACACUGGGACUGAGACACGGCCCAGACUCCUACGGGAGGCAUCAGUGGGGAAUAUUGGACAAUGGGCGAAAGCCUGAUCCAGCAAUGCCGCGUGAGUGAUGAAGGCCUUAGGGUUGUAAAGCUCUUUUACCCGGGAUGAUAAUGACAGUACCGGGAGAAUAAGCUCCGGCUAACUCCGUG